CAUAUCAAUAAGCGGAGGAAAAGAAACCAACAGGGAUUGCCCUAGUAACGGCGAGUGAAGCGGCAAUAGCUCAAAUUUGAAAGCUGGCCUCUGGUCCGCAUUGUAAUUUGUAGAGGAUGCUUUUAGGCAGCCGCCGGUCUAAGUUCCUUGGAACAGGACGUCAUAGAGGGUGAGAAUCCCGUAUGUGACCGGCUCAGGCACCUUCUGUAAAGCUCCUUCGACGAGUCGAGUUGUUUGGGAAUGCAGCUCUAAAUGGGAGGUAAAUUUCUUCUAAAGCUAAAUACUGGCGAGAGACCGAUAGCGCACAAGUAGAGUGAUCGAAAGAUGAAAAGCACUUUGGAAAGAGAGUUAAAAAGCACGUGAAAUUGUUGAAAGGGAAGCGCUUGCAAUCAGACUUGGCUUAGAUUGUUCAACCGGUCUUCUGACCGGCCUAUUCAUUCUGAGCCAGGCCAGCAUCAGUUUCGGCGGCCGGAUAAAGGCCUUGGGAAUGUGGCCCUCCCUUCGGGGUGGGUGUUAUAGCCCAGGGUGUAAUACGGCCAGCCGGGACUGAGGUCCGCGAUCGUCUAGGAUGCUGCGUACACCCUGGCAU
This 589-nucleotide ribosomal RNA is filed under the name Plowrightia periclymeni. RNAcentral's name for it is "partial large subunit ribosomal RNA". It matches the Rfam family "Eukaryotic large subunit ribosomal RNA", at positions 39 to 643 of the family's 3401-position model. The record is from RNAcentral. Lineage: Eukaryota; Fungi; Ascomycota; Dothideomycetes; Dothideales; Dothioraceae.